AGCAGUAGCCACGGUAAUACGAAGGGUGCAAGCGUUACUCGGAAUUACUGGGCGUAAAGCGUGCGUAGGUGGUGGUUUAAGUCCGUUGUGAAAGCCCUGGGCUCAACCUGGGAAUUGCAGUGGAUACUGGGUCACUAGAGUGUGUCAGAGGAUGGUGGAAUUCCCGGUGUAGCGGUGAAAUGCGUAGAGAUCGGGAGGAACAUCAGUGGCGAAAGCGGCCAUCUGGGACAACACUGACGCUGAGGCACGAAAGCGUGGGGAGCAAACAGGAUUAGAUACCCCCGUAGUCCCUGUCUCUUAUAC
This 303-nucleotide ribosomal RNA is filed under the name uncultured bacterium. RNAcentral's name for it is "partial 16S ribosomal RNA". It matches the Rfam family "Bacterial small subunit ribosomal RNA", at positions 507 to 807 of the family's 1533-position model. The record is from RNAcentral.